RNAcentral lists this ribosomal RNA (500 nucleotides) under uncultured bacterium. RNAcentral's name for it is "partial 16S ribosomal RNA". It matches the Rfam family "Bacterial small subunit ribosomal RNA", at positions 30 to 523 of the family's 1533-position model. The record is from RNAcentral.
AUUGAACGCUGGCGGCAGGCCUAACACAUGCAAGUCGAGCGGAUGACGGGAGCUUGCUCCUUGAUUCAGCGGCGGACGGGUGAGUAAUGCCUAGGAAUCUGCCUGGUAGUGGGGGACAACGUUCCGCAAGGAACGCUAAUACCGCAUACGUCCUACGGGAGAAAGCAGGGGACCUUCGGGCCUUGCGCCAUCAGAUGAGCCUAGGUCGGAUUAGCUAGUUGGUGGGGUAAUGGCUCACCAAGGCGACGGUCCGUAACUGGUCUGAGAGGAUGAUCAGUCACACUGGAACUGAGACACGGUCCAGACUCCUACGGGAGGCAGCAGUGGGGAAUAUUGGACAAUGGGCGAAAGCCUGAUCAGCCAUGCCGCGUGUGUGAAGAAGGUCUUCGGAUUGUAAAGCACUUUAAGUUGGGAGGAAGGGCAGUAAGUUAAUACCUUGCUGUUUUGACGUUACCGACAGAAUAGGCACCGGCUAACUCUGUGCCAGCCGCCGCCGGUAA